UUAUUGGAGAGUUUGAUCCUGGCUCAGGAUGAACGCUGGCGGCGUGCCUAAUACAUGCAAGUCGAGCGAAUGGAUUGAGAGCUUGCUCUCAAGAAGUUAGCGGCGGACGGGUGAGUAACACGUGGGUAACCUGCCCAUAAGACUGGGAUAACUCCGGGAAACCGGGGCUAAUACCGGAUAACAUUUUGAACUGCAUAGUUCGAAAUUGAAAGGCGGCUUCGGCUGUCACUUAUGGAUGGACCCGCGUCGCAUUAGCUAGUUGGUGAGGUAACGGCUCACCAAGGCAACGAUGCGUAGCCGACCUGAGAGGGUGAUCGGCCACACUGGGACU
RNAcentral lists this ribosomal RNA (331 nucleotides) under Bacillus toyonensis. Its description in RNAcentral is "bacterial SSU rRNA". It matches the Rfam family "Bacterial small subunit ribosomal RNA", at positions 1 to 320 of the family's 1533-position model. Lineage: Bacteria; Bacillati; Bacillota; Bacilli; Caryophanales; Bacillaceae. The record is from RNAcentral.